RNAcentral lists this ribosomal RNA (462 nucleotides) under uncultured bacterium. Its description in RNAcentral is "partial 16S ribosomal RNA". It matches the Rfam family "Bacterial small subunit ribosomal RNA", at positions 28 to 507 of the family's 1533-position model. The record is from RNAcentral.
GACGAACGCUGGCGGCGUGCUUAACACAUGCAAGUCGAGCGGAAAGGCCCUUCGGGGUACUCGAGCGGCGAACGGGUGAGUAACACGUGAGUAACCUGCCCCAGACUUUGGGAUAACCCUCGGAAACGGGGGCUAAUACCGGAUACGACACAGCUUCGCAUGGGGUCUGUGUGGAAAGUUUUUCGGUUUGGGAUGGGCUCGCGGCCUAUCAGCUUGUUGGUGGGGUGAUGGCCUACCAAGGCGACGACGGGUAGCCGGCCUGAGAGGGCGACCGGCCACACUGGGACUGAGACACGGCCCAGACUCCUACGGGAGGCAGCAGUGGGGAAUAUUGCACAAUGGGCGGAAGCCUGAUGCAGCGACGCCGCGUGAGGGAUGACGGCCUUCGGGUUGUAAACCUCCUUCAGCAGGGACGAAGCGUAAGUGACGGUACCUGCAGAAGAAGCGCCGGCCAACUACGUG